This is a long non-coding RNA of Felis catus (domestic cat), 2419 nucleotides long. RefSeq lists it as uncharacterized. The record is from RefSeq and is a predicted model, not a curated record. NCBI's taxonomy places the organism in Eukaryota, Metazoa, Chordata, Mammalia, Carnivora, Felidae. The transcript is spliced from 4 exons.
ACCCUUUUUGUCUGUUAGUAUGUUUCUUUUCUUUCUUUGCUAUCUUUCUUGCCCCUCCUUUCCUUUCUCUUUCUGUCAUUCAUGUAAUUUUUUAACAAAGGCAAAACAAUUAUUCUUGGCCUACAAAUAAUAUUUUAAUCUCCUUUCAGAAAAUUAGCUUAGCCAUCACUAAUUAGAACAAUGAGGUUCUAAGUCAUUGGAAUGAAAUCAAAUUUAUAGUGCCUUUCACAUAGUAAGCACUCAAUAAAUGUUUUUGCUUUUGAAUGAAACUUCAUUAAAGGCUCUAACUCUACUAUGGUGAACAUAUUGUGAGAUCAAAAUGUUGCCAAGUAGACUGUACCUGUGACUCAGUGAAGCCUAACCCAGACCGACAGAGAAAUUGAUGGAAUGUUAAUUGAUAGCAGCUGGAUGACUGGCAUGAGUGCAGCCACAGGAAAGGGCCAAGGAUCUCUCAGGGAGUAUAAAAUUUACAUUUACUAAAGACCCCAGAGGCUUUUUAAUGAGAAUGACCUCUGGUUAAAAUUAGAGUGAAGGGGAAAUAAAGAUAGUAAUUUGGGGACUUUGGGUCUUAGCAUAUUUUCCACUUAAUAGCCAGUGACUUAGAAAAUGAAACUCAUGGAAUUCUCAUAAUAGUAAUGACUUGGCCUUAAUGAUUUCAAAAGCCCCAUUAGGUGGGUUCACGACUUGUUGGUUAGCAACACUGGAAAAUAUACUAGGUGGAGAAAACAGGGAUAAGUCCUCAUAUUUAAACACUCUUAUCAGUGUCUUGGCUGGUAGAAAACAGGCUGUGUUGAUCAGGCCUUGUAGAGUAGACCGAGAGGGUUUGUUUACUCCUUGGAAUUGAGCUUGAGGUGGAUAAGAUCAGAGUUUCAGAUCACUAGCUGGGUGUACAUCUAUAAAGAUCUCCCACUAUGUGAAAAUUCCUGAGUUGAUAUCUUAAUAAAGUGACAGGGCCAAACCUUACUACAGCUUCUAAGAUAUGUUUUAGUGGAAGCCCCAGAUGAUCUCCUUUCCUCAAGAGAAAUUGGUAAUCAUCCUGUCUACUAAAUGAGGCAUUGGUUUGUUAAUAUAAAGUUGGUUGAUGCACCUAUACUGAAAUAUACUAGUUUGACUUUGGGAAUGUUUGAAAUGUUAAAUAUGGUUAGUGCCUAAAUCUAUAGUGAUGGGUUCUUUUAUUUUUUCCUCCCUGACACAUACCUUUAUUUCCUAGAGCAUUUUAAAGCAAAUUCCUGACAUUAUAGUACUUCAUCUGUAAAUGCUUUAGAAUUCUGACUACUGCUGAAAAGGGUCAAUAUUUUACACAGCUGGUCCAAUAGAGGAAGCCACAAGACAUGAACCUGCUCCAUGAUAAUGCCUCCUCACCUACUGAUGGUGGAUAUCAGAUGGUUCUGAAAUUGGAAGGGCCAUGUGAGAAUUUGGCAUGGAGCUGGCAAGAAACCACACAAAAGAAGAAUGGGACUUUUCUAAAAGGUUCAAGAAAUAUCAAACAGGAGACUGAAUCUCUUACAAUUACCUGAGAUGGAGGCACAACCACCUCUCAGCAGCCAAAGAUAGUGACUAGACAGUAGAACACUGUAUCUGGCUACUAUCAUGAAGACACCGUGUGUUCAAGACCUUGCAUCCAGCUGCAACCAUCUGAAACCUAUAGCAAGAAGGAUCGCUCCAGCAGCUGGAUGAAGUCUUUGAUAAAGGGAGGCAACAAUAGAGGCUGGAAGUCAGACAAAAAGAGGAGGCUCUGGCAGUACCUGAGGUAUGAAUUGGAUUCACACAGCAAUGGUAAGGCUGGAGAAAAGAGGUGGAAACCUUGAUAUAGUUUGAAGAUAAACUUCUAGGAUGUAGCAUCCAGGUGAAUGGAGAGGGCUGGAGAUACUUCAAGGGAGUUGUCAGCAUAGAGAUGGGACUGAAUGAGAUAUCUGAAGAGGGAAUGUAGUUAGAGGGAAGAAGAGGUCCUAGGGUUGAACUCUGGGACACCAUAGUGUUCAGAGGUUGGAAAGAGGAGGAAGAGCCACCCAAAACAAUGGAGAAGAAGUGAACAGUGAUGGAAAAGGAAGACCAAAAAGUGUGGCAUCCUGGCCAAAGCCAAGUGAAGGAAAUGUUUCAUGAAGGAGUAUAGCAUCAACCACAUCAAAUGCUGUUGAGAGAAUGAGUAGCAUGGGUCAGAUGAUUGAGGAUUAACCAUUGGAUUCAACAACAUUGCAAUUGUUGACAAUUUGGCAAGAGCUAUUUAGAAGAGUGAUGGCAAUUAAAUGAAUGAGAAAAGGGGGUGUGGAGAUAGCAGGUAGAACUAACUCUUUCUGGGAGUUUUUCAGAGAAGUGGCCUGGAGAAGGAUAUCGAUAAAGAAAUUUUUUAUUUUAUUGAGACAGAGUGCGUGCAUGUGCUUGCAAGUGCCUGAGUGGGGAGGGGCAGAGAGAGAGAGAG